UACGUAGGGGGCAAGCGUUGUCCGGAUUUAUUGGGCGUAAAGAGCGUGUAGGCGGCCAGAUAGGUCAGCUGUGAAAACUCGAGGCUCAACCUCGAGACGUCGGCGGAAACCAUCUGGCUAGAGUCCGGAAGAGGAGAGUGGAAUUCCUGGUGUAGCGGUGAAAUGCGCAGAUAUCAGGAAGAACACCCGUGGCGAAGGCGGCUCUCUGGGACGGUACUGACGCUGAGACGCGAAAGCGUGGGGAGCGAACAGG
Molecule: ribosomal RNA, 253 nt
Filed under: uncultured bacterium
Lineage: Bacteria
Description: partial 16S ribosomal RNA
Rfam family: Bacterial small subunit ribosomal RNA
Source: RNAcentral